Ceratina calcarata is the source of this 459-nucleotide long non-coding RNA. RefSeq lists it as uncharacterized. The transcript is spliced from 3 exons. The record is from RefSeq and is a predicted model, not a curated record. NCBI's taxonomy places the organism in Eukaryota, Metazoa, Arthropoda, Insecta, Hymenoptera, Apidae.
AUCUGUACAUUCGUUUUGAAUCUAAAAAUAUGUUUAUACAUCGAUUAAAUCACGUUUUAAAAUCAGGGAACUUGUUACAUAUUUACAAAAUAGUUCGGAGGAGAUGGUACCAGAGAGAAAUUUUCUCUCUGAUAAUACACCAUAAUACACUUAUAAUCGGGACGUAAAAUUAGGAGGUUGGAGGUUAGACGCGAAUCUACCUUCCCGCGAAAGAUAGAAUUUGAAUUCUGACUAAUUAGUCAAUUGCAUGAGAUAGAAAUUAGAAAUUACAAUGCGUUCAGCGAGACAAACACGAAGAACUAAAAAAACAGAAGCAGUACAAAUUAAUUACAAGUCUACAGUGUAUUUUAAGCUCAAGAAGUUUUUGAUCAGUACAUAUGAUUAAACUCAUACAAUACAGUUGUAAUCAUGGCAUCGCUCAUGACACACAUGUAAAAAUAUAAAAAAAUACAAGAUGAA